CGUAUGAAAAACAGCGCGUCAUGGGCACGGUGCAGGAGAAGAGUCACGUCAAAACAUGUAACCGUUUGCAAAAUGGACUCCAGCUUCGUAUCUCAUACUCGAUAAGUGCGAAUUAUCUUGAAGUGGAUCGUGCCAAUGGCAGAUGUGCAGUCAAUGAAAUUGCCUCUUUCCCACACCGUGCAACGGCGAUUCUUGUACCUUCGUACAUAUAUAAAUGCCAUGCCGAAUGUUUAUUGUACGGACGAUUCAACCGGCAACGAAACUGGUGGAUCCGUGCUCGAAACGUCUUCAAGGGCGGCUGGAAUCGCCCUCGAUGCGUUUAUCGUCGCAGCUUCUCGUUGCGUCGUUGAAUCAUCAGCACGCCUGCACUUUUCGGAAGAAAAAUAUUCGAGGAUGUCGACGGAGACGAAGACGAUGGAAAAGGAGAAACGGAUCUUGGUGUAACGGCAGACUCCUUGCCGAUCGUUGAACCGGAGUUAAGGGGUUACAAAUUAGGCUUAUGUUUAAGAAUGUUUUUCGUGUAUAAAGUUGAAUUUUAUUGAACAACCAUUAUACAUCUUCCGAAGCGUGACAUUUUAUCUAAGCUGUGUAAAAAUUCGGUUGAAAAAUAUCAAACGGUAAAACAGUGGCAGUAGUUUUCCUAGGACGUGUUUUUGUUCACAGCAAAUGCGGUACCAGACGUGCCUCAGCCAUUUCUUAUCUGAAAAGGAAAAAAAAAGUUGCUAAAAGUAGAUAGAUAAAACUAGUAUACUUAUCAAUUUUUUCAGAUAAUCGCAGUUUCUGGAAUGAAACAGCCAAUUUUUCACCUCAACAUUGUUCACUACUGACUAUGAAAA
Molecule: long non-coding RNA, 836 nt
Organism: Neodiprion fabricii
Lineage: Eukaryota; Metazoa; Arthropoda; Insecta; Hymenoptera; Diprionidae
Exons: 2
Source: RefSeq, a predicted model, not a curated record